Octopus sinensis (East Asian common octopus) is the source of this 151-nucleotide long non-coding RNA. RefSeq lists it as uncharacterized. Lineage: Eukaryota; Metazoa; Mollusca; Cephalopoda; Octopoda; Octopodidae. The transcript has 3 exons. The record is from RefSeq and is a predicted model, not a curated record.
AUAUAAAAGAAAGGUUGCAUUUCUAAAUCUCUCAGAAAGAUUUAUGCAGUAGCAGCACGAUAAAGCGAUGUUAUGUUGCCAAGUUAUUGUAGUAGUCCCAUAAAAGGGAAGAAUGCUACUGCUAUUUAGCCUCAGGAAACACCGUUUCCAG